CCUACGGGAGGCUGCAGUGAGGAAUAUUGGUCAAUGGGCGCGAGCCUGAACCAGCCAAGUCGCGUGAGGGAAGACGGUCCUAUGGAUUGUAAACCUCUUUUAUCUGGGAGCAAAAGACGCCACGCGUGGCGUUCCGAGAGUACCCGAAGAAAAAGCAUCGGCUAACUCCGUGCCAGCAGCCGCGGUAAUACGGAGGAUGCGAGCGUUAUCCGGAUUUAUUGGGUUUAAAGGGUGCGCAGGCGGAAGAUGAAGUCAGCGGUAAAAUUGGGAGGCUCAACCUCUUCGAGCCGUUGAAACUGGGUGUCUUGAGUGAGUGAGAGGUAUGCGGAAUGCGUGGUGUAGCGGUGAAAUGCAUAGAUAUCACGCAGAACUCCGAUUGCGAAGGCAGCAUACCGGCGCUCAACUGACGCUCAUGCACGAAAGUGUGGGUAUCGAACAGGAUUAGAUACCCGAGUAGUC
This 459-nucleotide ribosomal RNA is filed under the name uncultured bacterium. RNAcentral describes it as "partial 16S ribosomal RNA". It matches the Rfam family "Bacterial small subunit ribosomal RNA", at positions 338 to 795 of the family's 1533-position model. The record is from RNAcentral.